UUGCCCAACCUUACAUAGUUCAGGAGUGGCAAGACCAGGAUUGAGUCAAGGUAGUCUGAUUCCAGAUUUGCUCCCUUCGCCAUUAUACUGAAGUUGAAUAUGUACGCAUACCCUAUACCAUUGUUUCUUUAAAAAUAGCUCUGGACUUGUUCAUUCUCUUCAGAAGUACAGCCUUGCGAUCAAUGGAAUCAACGAAGGACCUCAUUCCUUGUCCAUACACGUGCUGUGGCUGUCUACUUCCCGAAUGGUUUUCAGUGAUUUUCUUAAAACGGCCACAUUGAGUUCAUCCAAAUUUCCCUCACGAAUAGCUGGGAUCCCACAGCCCUGGCCUGGACAGGGCACCCUGCAGGCAGGGAUGAGCCUACCAGGGAAGGACUGACCUCUGGUUCUGAGGAGUAGAGCAGAGGAGAAGCCAAAAUCUGGGUUUGGAGUGUAUGACCAGGAAGCAUGGAGAGUUCCUCAAUGUGUGUCCAAGGAGAGUCCUGACGAAAGAGUGCUGAGACGCACGGUCCUGAUGAUCUAGCUGUGCACUCAGGCAUUCGACAGCGGGUGUCUCUGGUCCUUCCUCCAACGCCAAUACGAAGAACCCAGAAAUGAAAAAGAUUAUUAGUCAAUGUUUAUGUGGCAUCAUAAACACGAUACAGUGUGGGGGAAUUUUGUUUCUUAACCGUAGCAGUUUAUUUUGGUGAAA
Molecule: long non-coding RNA, 691 nt
Organism: Neofelis nebulosa (Clouded leopard)
Lineage: Eukaryota; Metazoa; Chordata; Mammalia; Carnivora; Felidae
Exons: 3
Source: RefSeq, a predicted model, not a curated record